CCUACGGGUGGCUGCAGUGGGGAAUAUUGGGCAAUGGGCGAAAGCCUGACCCAGCAACGCCGCGUGAAGGAAGAAGGCUUUCGGGUUGUAAACUUCUUUUGACAGGGAAGAGCAGAAGACGGUACCUGUCGAAUAAGCCACGGCUAACUACGUGACAGAAGCCCCGGUAAUACGUAGGUGGCAGGCGUUAUCCGGAUUAAGUGGGGGUAAAGGGAGCGUAGAAGGUUAAUUAAGUCAGAAGUGAAAACCCAGGGCUCAACCUUGGGACUGCUUUGGAAACUGGGUAGCUAGAGUGCAGGAGAGGGAAGCGGAAUUCCUAGUGUAGCGGUGAAAUGCGUAGAUAUGAGGAGGAACACCAGUGGCGAAGGCGGCUUACUGGACUGUAACUGACGUUGAGGCUCGAAAGCGUGGGGAGCAAACAGGAUUAGAUACCCCAGUAGUC
This 442-nucleotide ribosomal RNA is filed under the name uncultured bacterium. Its description in RNAcentral is "partial 16S ribosomal RNA". It matches the Rfam family "Bacterial small subunit ribosomal RNA", at positions 338 to 795 of the family's 1533-position model. The record is from RNAcentral.